This 771-nucleotide ribosomal RNA is filed under the name uncultured bacterium. Its description in RNAcentral is "bacterial SSU rRNA". It matches the Rfam family "Bacterial small subunit ribosomal RNA", at positions 8 to 796 of the family's 1533-position model. The record is from RNAcentral.
AGAGUUUGAUCCUGGCUCAGGACGAACGCUGGCGGCGUGCUUAACACAUGCAAGUCGAACGGAAAGGCCCUUCGGGGUACUCGAGUGGCGAACGGGUGAGUAACACGUGGGUGAUCUGCCCUGCACUUUGGGAUAAGCCUGGGAAACUGGGUCUAAUACCGAAUAUGACCAUGCACUUCCUGGUGUGUGGUGGAAAGCUUUUGCGGUGUGGGAUGGGCCCGCGGCCUAUCAGCUUGUUGGUGGGGUACUGGCCUACCAAGGCGACGACGGGUAGCCGGCCUGAGAGGGUGACCGGCCACACUGGGACUGAGAUACGGCCCAGACUCCUACGGGAGGCAGCAGUGGGGAAUAUUGCACAAUGGGCGCGAGCCUGAUGCAGCGACGCCGCGUGAGGGAUGACGGCCUUCGGGUUGUAAACCUCUUUCAGCACAGACGAAGCGCAAGUGACGGUAUGUGCAGAAGAAGGACCGGCCAACUACGUGCCAGCAGCCGCGGUAAUACGUAGGGUCCGAGCGUUGUCCGGAAUUACUGGGCGUAAAGAGCUCGUAGGUGGUUUGUCGCGUUGUUCGUGAAAACUCACAGCUUAACUGUGGGCGUGCGGGCGAUACGGGCAGACUUGAGUACUGCAGGGGAGACUGGAAUUCCUGGUGUAGCGGUGGAAUGCGCAGAUAUCAGGAGGAACACCGGUGGCGAAGGCGGGUCUCUGGGCAGUAACUGACGCUGGGGAGCGAAAGCGUGGGGAGCGAACAGGAUUAGAUACCCCGGUAGUCC